AGCCCUGUGAAGGUGAGCAAAUCCCAAAAAUAAACGUCCCAGUUCGGAUUGUAGUCUGCAACCCGACUACGUGAAGCUGGAAUCGCUAGUAAUCGCGGAUCAGAAUGCCGCGGUGAAUACGUUCCCGGGUCUUGUACACACCGCCCGUCACACCAUGGGAGUCGGAAAUGCCCGAAGCCGGUGACUCAACCUUUAAGGAGAGAGCCGUCGAAGGCAGGUCUGAUAACUGGGGUGAAGUCGUAACAAGGUAUC
RNAcentral lists this ribosomal RNA (252 nucleotides) under uncultured bacterium. RNAcentral's name for it is "partial 16S ribosomal RNA". It matches the Rfam family "Bacterial small subunit ribosomal RNA", at positions 1251 to 1500 of the family's 1533-position model. The record is from RNAcentral.